This 74-nucleotide transfer RNA is filed under the name Phage Phass-1. It matches the Rfam family "tRNA". Rfam says of the family: Transfer RNA (tRNA) molecules are approximately 80 nucleotides in length. Their secondary structure includes four short double-helical elements and three loops (D, anti-codon, and T loops). Lineage: Duplodnaviria; Heunggongvirae; Uroviricota; Caudoviricetes. The record is from Rfam by way of RNAcentral.
CGCAGAGUAGAGAAGUGGCCUAUCUCGCGACCCUCAUAAGGUCGAAAUCGCAGGUUCGAAUCCUGCCUCUGCAC